UACGAAGGGGGCUAGCGGUGUUCGGAUUUACUGGGCGAAAAGCGCGAGUAGGCGGGUCGUUAAGUUGGGGGUGAAAUCCCGAGGCUCAACCUCGGAACUGCCUUCAAAACUGGCGACCUGGACUCAAGCAGAGGCAAGUGGAAUUGCGAGUGUAGAGGUGAAAUUCGUAGAUAUUCGCAGGAACACCAGUGGCGAGGGCGACUUGCUGGGCUUGUAGUGACGCCGGGACGCGACAGCGUGGGGAGCAAACAGG
Molecule: ribosomal RNA, 253 nt
Filed under: uncultured bacterium
Lineage: Bacteria
Description: partial 16S ribosomal RNA
Rfam family: Bacterial small subunit ribosomal RNA
Source: RNAcentral